Triticum aestivum (bread wheat) is the source of this 4361-nucleotide long non-coding RNA. RefSeq lists it as uncharacterized. The record is from RefSeq and is a predicted model, not a curated record. NCBI's taxonomy places the organism in Eukaryota, Viridiplantae, Streptophyta, Magnoliopsida, Poales, Poaceae. The transcript has 4 exons.
UACUGAUCGUUGUGUGGCUGGGAGGUUUACGAGUUCGUGCUCGUGGAAGUGGCGUUCGAGCGCCGGAAAAAAAAUCCUCCCGUGUCCACUGUCUUCUCCUUCCUUCUUCUUUGUUGUGUUAGGCAGCGAGCGCGAGGGAGGUGUAGCGAGAGACAGGAAGAGGACGGCACCGGCAACAACAAGCUAGUCGUAGCUCCGCCCAUGGGGGUUGCAACUUUUUUGUUUGGCUGGUCGCAACUCUGUCAAAGGGGGGUCGCAGCUUCUCCACUCGCUAACCGUUCAUAGCUGUUUUCGACACAGGUUGCAACAUCAUGGCUUGCUAGUCACAGCUUCGACCAUAGCUCGUGAAGGAGCAAAGAUGGGUGGGCACAUCCAUGACGACUGUUGCAUUGUCUAGUUUUUCAUCAUCGUAGUAGUGUGUGGCGGCAAUAGUGGUGGGCCUUGCUUUGGCCUUGCAAGCACCAACCCCUUGUAGCCACUCCGGUAGGAGCCCGUGCGUGGAGGAGGGAAAAGGCAGUCGGCCUCGGGGUGUGCGCGCGCUGGGGGAGGAGAAGGUGCAGACGGUGGAAGCAGCCGCGGCGGUUGUGGUUUUCCCCACUCCCGAUGGUCACACAUGGCGUUGGAUUUGGCAAGGGGAGAGGAGGACGACGACUUGGAUUUGUGUCGGGCGAGGAGAGGUUUGUGUCCCUUCGUGUGAAAGAGAUAAGGUUGGAUGUGCGGGAUGGAUGAUGUGUGGCGCCAGUGAGAACCCGGUCCCUUGGAAGGUUCGCCUGCUUUGUUGGAUCAAGUUUGAUCGAAUGGCCUGCAAAUGAGCGGUGUGGCGCCUGGCCGAUCGGCUAGCAUGAAUAAUUUUCCAUGAAUAUCUAGAAACUUACUAUUUUCUAGCAAUCAUGCCAGUCUAUGAUACAACAUGGGAAUGUCAGUGAAGUCACAGGUACAUUAGUUGUCCCAACUUGCUUUUGCUGUCUUUUUUUGUAAGGAAUACUAGUUUUUACAAGACAAAAAGAUUUUCACGCCCUAGGUAAAAAAACUCUUUUUAAGAAAUGGUACACAUUACACAUUUCAAUGAGAAAAAUAUCCAUACAAAGAAAAAGUCACACAAGCCAAAUCUAGGCUUAGGAAUAGUUCAAAAAAAGUCCCAUGCACAAUACACACGACAGAAAAUAAUGAUUGCACCAUGUUGUUUCUUUUUUAUAGGCACAAGUAACACCAUGGGUUUUAUAUUGAACGAGACACCAGGUUGUUGUUCUAUAAAAAGAUAAAUCAUGACUAAGAAUGUUAUAAUACAAACAAAAUCACGAGAAAUUAAAAUUUUGUUUGCAAAAUUAAAAUUAAGUUCGUGAAAUUAAAAAUGUUCACAAAUUUUAAAAAUAUACAUGAAACUUAAAUAUGUCUAUGGUACUAAAAAAAGCUCACAAAUUUAAUGUUCAUUGUUAAUUUUAAAAUGUACAUUAAAAAUUUCAACAUUAUUUAAAAAUGUUCAUCAUAUAUUUCAAAAUAAAGUUGUAUUUAGAAAAAUUCUGAAACAAUGAUCGCCCCGCAAAAAUGGACAAUGGUCGUCGCCAAUGUAACCUACCAUCUGCUUUGUAUGGCCGGAGCAAAAAAAAAAAUCAGAUCCAGCUACGCCUUUAAACUGGAGUGAAAUCGCGCUAUACUUUGGUCAAAAGGAUUAAACAGUGACUUUGGCCUUCCCCAAUGAUUUUGGCCGAAGCUGGCGACUCCUCCUUCUCUACUCUACGUGUCCCUUCCCGUUGUAGUGGACACUUCGGCCCUACUCCAUCAGUGCUCGUGGAGAAUUCUACGUACCCGAAACGGAAGGCAAUGCUACAGUGUACUCGUGGGCGGCAUGGGGUCAAGCUAGCAGCUCCAACUCUUCUACUCUACAGGUCCCGUGGCGUUCAUGUCCAUCAUUGUUUGUCCUGGACAGGGAUACUCUGGAGAUAAUUGAGUAAGAGAGAAAAGGUGAGAGAUGAAAUUUUCAUAUGCAAGGACAGAUAGGCUUCUCGUCACAUAUGCCUAGGCUCAGUGAAAUCCAGUGAUCCCGUGCGGCCACAGUUCCAUGGCACAGAAAAGGAGGGAACACAAAGAAUACUGGAAAGAUUUUGUUAUGCAGAUGUCAAAAGAUAGAAUGAUGCACUAUGGCGCUCGUGUCAUCUCGUGUACACCGAUCUAGAUGAGAUGUGAUGUGGAUAGUCUCGGAAGAGACGGCGGAUCGUGACCGGCCUAGGGCAAGGACUAUGUAGAACUUUCUGGCACCGACAAAUUCUACCGGAUUAUAAGGAAAUUCUGGGGAAACUAUACGGUGCUGAACCACCGACGUGAUGGAAAGAUGACUAUGUCCUUGCUGCCAGCCAGUGUCUCGGCAGCCAGUACAAACACGUUCUCGUGUGCCUCCGCCCAGCUGAUUCGGACAAUUGUCAUCUUCCUAAAAUUUAGAUGGAUAUUUAGAUGUUCUUAAUUUUUUUUCUUCUAAAAUGAACAUAGCUGUGAGCUUAUUUGUUGGGUAGUCAAAUUCUGGUGGAAUUAACAGUAUAAUUUGUAUUUUUGUUUUUAGGUCUUACGCAUCUGGUGAACCCAAGGCUGUCCACAUACAUUUUGAACGUUCAUUAGGUGUUUAUCGGCUAGCUGGGGAGGCUACGAACAAUCUUAAAAAGACCAGUUUUUUACAUUAAGCACAUGCUCCAGAAAUGCUAUACAUGUUCUCCCCUAUGUUCUUUUUGGUAAUCCAAUUCACCACUGACUAAAUUGUAUCACUGCCUGACCUGUGCUAGGUCUGAAUUUGAGGGUUUACUUGAAAAAACUUCUGCUGAAGUUAAUGGUUCCCUGUUAAAUCUGUGCAUAUGUAACUGCAGCAAGAACUGCUGGUAAUGCACAAGCUAGGGAUCAGCUGGAACGUCCUAUUGAAUGCCUUCAUGGAGAUAAUUGUCUGAAGAUUAUUUCUCCAACCACGUGGAGCCGCUGACGUUUACUCUCCCUCAAGACUCACUGGCCAGCUCAGGUGCUUCCUUCGAUCUGAUCUGCAGCAAAGCGUUUUCCAUGACCUCUUGAAUUCUCGUCGAUGGAUCCAAGUCAAAAUAAAAUUGUUUUGCCAACUAAGCACUUAUGGAUUGUUCCUCUAAUUCGGCAUUCCUUUCAGACACUAUACUAAUCGUGAAAUUGCUAUUAUGAUGCUCAUGGCUUAUUUAAUGAUGGCUGAAGUGUACUAACAUCAUAUUCAUACAAUAUAGUUUGUCAUUAAUGAUAUUCACUGGUUGCUUUGCCUGGCACUUGCUUGAGUUGAGUGAUACUCUUAGUCCUGUCCCAACAUCGUGGUUUGGGAAAAAGUGGUGCACGAAUGGUUUCGGAGGAUAGUCUGCACGAGGUACUUAAGGUUCUCUGAAAAAGCAUUCAAGAAGGGAUGAAGCAAUCUUCUACUUAAUUCAGAAGCUCGUCCAUGUCAUUGUUAAUGAUACUACCAUACUCUGAUUGCAUGAGUCCAUGAAGCAAGCAAUAAUCUAUCUCAAAAAUUUGUGUCCAAGCAUACAACCGUAAACAACUUACGAGUUCUGACUAUGGCUAUGUAGCACACUGACAAGACAAGAGAAUAAUGCCUCUAAGGGAUUUGAGCUACGCCGCUUCCCAUCAAACUCGAGCUCGGCGCUCCGUCUGCACUUGAGCACAGCUGUUGGCCAUCAGCUCGCUCGAGCAAACACGCUGGCCGUCCGCGCACGAUCUCCUCCCAGCCUUCGACAUAUUCUUGCAUGCAAGGCUAAGAUAUCUCCACCGGCUCCUUUUUCUGUCUGAGCUCCUCCCUACCCUGGCAAAACCAAAUGCUACCAUCUCCUUUCUUUGGCAUGCUAAAACUUAUGUCAGUUCAUUGUCAUGGAUAGAUUAGUCAGAAUGAGAUUGGGAUCUUUACACUAAAGAGGAUGAGGAGCUAUAUGGGCUAGGAAAUGUUGCUUGAGGUGUGGUUCUGGGACCUGAUGUUGUUCAAAUUACAGCUCCCUUAUUUAGUACUAGGCAUUCCCACUGAUACUGACGAUACUUGGAGCAUUUUCAGCAGUGGCAGUAGACACAUAUGGCACCACUUCUUGGUGGAUUUUGUCCAUUUACUUUUUGUAUCCUUUGAAUUAGAAUAUUCCGUGCAAGAUUUGAGUUUGAAUCUGGUCAAAUUAAUCUUGUACUCUCUGAAUUUAAAUAAUGCUUCGUAUCUUACUAAAUUUUGUUUUGUAUUGGAAGUAUUUUUUCCUUCAAAUUCCCUGAAUGAUUCUGAAACAUAGCGGUGAUUUUUGCAGGGUUCUACGGUGCAACAUCAAGUUUUACUCUACACCUAUGAGAAACUUUUAACUACCUAAUAACCACCUAUUUUACUCCCCAAUGGA